Molecule: ribosomal RNA, 108 nt
Filed under: Octodon degus (degu)
Lineage: Eukaryota; Metazoa; Chordata; Mammalia; Rodentia; Octodontidae
Source: RNAcentral
AGCCCACCACCCUGAACGCGCCCGAUCUCGUCUGAUCUCAGAAGCUAAGCAGGGUCGGGCCUGGUUAGUACUUGGAAGGGAGUCCUCACUUUCUGAAUGCUGCAGCUU